AUGCGGCGGGAGCUUCUCGUCGCGGACGGCGGUAGUCCACCGAGACACGACGUCAACGAAGCCGAGGGACAUGUCGAGCCUCGUCCGGUGAUCCCUGAUGGCAGCCUUCGUCCUCCUGAUGGCAAACAACUCCUCUUCGUUGGCGUCCUAGCUCCUCAGUUGCAUUGGUUGUCAUGCACAUGGCUGCUAUCUCCAUCAUCGCCUCCUUGCUCACCAUAUGGCAGCAGGCUCGCCCCGGCUGCAUCUACCCCCGCCGAUGCUGUAGCUCGUCAACUCGCUUCCACCUUCCCAGGAGCAUCUACCUGA
This 306-nucleotide ribosomal RNA is filed under the name Triticum aestivum (bread wheat). RNAcentral describes it as "partial small subunit ribosomal RNA". The record is from RNAcentral. Lineage: Eukaryota; Viridiplantae; Streptophyta; Magnoliopsida; Poales; Poaceae.